RNA transcript from Glycine soja, 1103 nucleotides. It is a transcript of the gene named 36.4 kDa proline-rich protein-like, with no coding region annotated. The transcript is spliced from 2 exons. The record is from RefSeq and is a predicted model, not a curated record. Lineage: Eukaryota; Viridiplantae; Streptophyta; Magnoliopsida; Fabales; Fabaceae.
CAGUAACUGGAACGGGUUAAGUAAGUUUGUGCUGCGAGAGAGAGGGGUUCCGUUCUGGGAUAUGGUGUAAACUAAAAUUCUGAAUGUGUACACUUGUAAGGUGUGCCAGCUUGCAAAACUUGGCAUCUGCCUUUUUGAGUGUAGCUAGCCCCAUCUUCACGUGAUCUGCUCUUAACCCCUUUUGUUUUCUUCUCCUCGUUUCUAUUCUUAUUCCUAUAUAUGCACCCCAUCCUCAGUCUCCAUUCUCACACUUACUAGUAGUAAGCAUGGAGUCCUCAAAGAUCUAUGCUUACCUCUUCCUCUGCAUGAUCUUUCUCUCUUCCGCCACUCCCAUUCUCGGUUGUGGCUACUGUGGCAAACCCCCCAAAAAGCACAAGCCUGGUAAAACACCAAAGACACCCAAAACACCCGUUGUUAAGCCACCAGUCACCAUCCCUCCCAUUAAUGUUCCUCCCGUUGUUCUUCCACCAAUAGUGAAGCCCCCAGGUAUUCUCCCUCCAAUUCCAAUUAUUAACCCACCAACCACACCAGGGAAGGGAGGGAACACUCCAUGCCCACCACCAAAGUCUCCUGCGCAGGCUACGUGCCCCAUUGACACGCUCAAACUUGGUGCCUGUGUGGAUCUUCUUGGAGGGUUGGUUCACAUUGGUUUGGGUGACCCUGUUGCGAACCAGUGCUGCCCCGUGCUUCAAGGGCUUGUUGAGGUUGAAGCUGCGGUGUGUCUUUGCACCACUCUUAAACUGAAGCUUCUCAACCUCAACAUUUAUGUCCCACUUGCCCUUCAGCUCCUUGUGACUUGUGGCAAGUCUCCUCCUCCUGGUUACACGUGCUCCCUCUAAACCAGUGGAAAGGAUUGAGGAAUAUAUGGUCAAAAUCGACAUGAGAGGAUGUCGAGCCACACUAUCUCUCUUCUCUUCUGAUUGGAACUGCUGUUGUUUGUUUUGCUAUUAUUUGUAAAACCAUUUGUUUUUAAUUGAGAUCGUUGCAUGUAUGGUUUAAUAUAAUCUUAGGCAAGUAGCAGCAAAGAUGCUUCUCUGUGACAUGUUCAAUUAUUAAUUUAUAUGAAUUGCGCUUUAAUUUGUUGAAUAUAUCAGUUUCGUGUU